Molecule: ribosomal RNA, 180 nt
Filed under: Botryosphaeria dothidea
Lineage: Eukaryota; Fungi; Ascomycota; Dothideomycetes; Botryosphaeriales; Botryosphaeriaceae
Description: partial 18S ribosomal RNA
Source: RNAcentral
UCGGAUUGGAUUCGGGCUCGGCCCGAUCCUCCCACCCUUUGUGUACCUACCUCUGUUGCUUUGGCGGGCCGCGGUCCUCCGCGGCCGCCCCCCCUCCCCGGGGGGGUGGCCAGCGCCCGCCAGAGGACCAUCAAACUCCAGUCAGUAAACGAUGCAGUCUGAAAAACAUUUAAUAAACUA